This is an RNA transcript of Nycticebus coucang (slow loris), 1049 nucleotides long. It is a transcript of the gene named purine nucleoside phosphorylase-like, with no coding region annotated. NCBI's taxonomy places the organism in Eukaryota, Metazoa, Chordata, Mammalia, Primates, Lorisidae. The transcript has a single exon. The record is from RefSeq and is a predicted model, not a curated record.
GGCAUCAGCUGGACCAUGGAGAACUGACGCACAUACGAAGAUUACCUGAACACUGCAGAAUGGCUUCUGUCCCAUACCAAAUACCGACCUAAAGUGGCAGUGAUCUGUGGUUCUGGAUUAAGAGGUCUGGCUCAUAAAUUAACUCAGCCCCAAUUCUUUGACUACAGCGAGAUACUCAAUUUUCCCCUAAGUACAGUGUGAGGUCUUGCCAGUUGGCUGGUGUUUGGGAUCCUGAAUAGCAAAGUCUGUGUGAUGAUGCAGGGCAGGUUCCAUGCAUAUGAAGGGUACCCACUCUGGAAGGUGACAUUCCCAAUAAGGGUUUUCCAGCUUAUAGGUGUGGACACCCUGGUGGUUACCAAUGCCGCUAGAGGGCUCAACCCCAAGUUUGAGGUUGGAGAUAUUAUGCUGAUCUGUGAUCACGUCAACCUACCUGGUUUCUGUGGUCAGAACCCACUCAUAGGACCAAAGGAUGAAAGGUUUGGGGUUCGUUUCCCUGCCAUGUCUGAUGCCUAUGACCGGACCAUGAGGGAGAAAGCUCUCAUUACCUGGAAACAAAUGGGAGAGGAGCGAGCACUGCAGGAAGGCACCUAUGUGAUGUUGACAGGCCCCAACUUUGAAACUAUAGCAGAGUGUCAUCUGCUGCAAAAGCUGGGGGCGGAUGCUGUUGGCAUGAGCACAGUACCGAAAGUGAUAGUUGCUCGGCACUGCGGACUUCGAGUCUUCGGCUUUUCACUCAUCACUAACAAGGUUGUUAUGGAUUAUGAAAGUCUGGAGAAGGCCUAUCAUGAGGAAGUAUUAGAGGCUGGGAAACAGGCCGCACAGAAAUUGGAAAAGUUUGUCACCACACUUGUUGGCAGUAUUCCACUCCAUUGCAGUACCUGUUGACCAGCCCUGCAUCGUCUGGUAUCUCCCAUAUAUGAGAUCCAAGUAGCUGCUACCUGCUUUGUACCCCUACUGGGGUCACGAGCCUCUGCCCUCAAGUAGUAGCAGAAAGGAACUAGUGAUUCCUAUCCCUCACCUCCCUUACUUUCUCCCACCAGACCCUUCUG